AUACGGAGGGUCCGAGCGUUAUCCGGAAUCAUUGGGUUUAAAGGGUCCGCAGGCGGGCGAUUAAGUCAGGGGUGAAAUGGUGCGGCUCAACCGUAGCACUGCCCUUGAUACUGGUUGUCUUGAGUCAUAGUGAAGUGGCCGGAAUAUGUAGUGUAGCGGUGAAAUGCAUAGAUAUUACAUAGAACACCGAUUGCGAAGGCAGGUCACUAACUAUCGACUGACGCUGAUGGACGAAAGCGUGGGGAGC
This 247-nucleotide ribosomal RNA is filed under the name uncultured bacterium. RNAcentral's name for it is "partial 16S ribosomal RNA". It matches the Rfam family "Bacterial small subunit ribosomal RNA", at positions 523 to 769 of the family's 1533-position model. The record is from RNAcentral.